CUUUUUCUUUAGAGCUUUUUAAUAUGAGGAUUUUAUCUUGUUCUUUUUUUUUUUUUAGAAUCUGUUCCUCUGUCCUCUCAUUUUGCUUGCUCGCUAUACUGUGUCUCUCUGAAUUCAGGGGAAUGGCGGUUACUUCUGUUGGUCUUGAAGGCUUGUCCUUUUGCAGGUGCGUCUGUUCCCAGACUGCCAGGAAGCGGUGUCACUGGCGGGAGGGCCAGGGCUUUUCUGCCUUGCCCAGGAGCUGGAUUUUGGUGUCAUUCAAGUCAAUGAACAGCUGAACUGACAUGAACACAAACUGUCACUUCAAGAAUCCAUCUCCGUGGCAAAUAAUGAAGCUGGAAUAAAAAAAGAAACAAAACAUAUUUCCUGUCAGUCAACUGUCAGGGUGUUUAUUUGUUUCUUUAAGCAAAGUACUCAAAUAAGAGCUGGGGAAACAGAUUGUCACUUAUAAUAUUGUUUAAUAAAGCAUUUGGGUGAACUGAAGAUAUUCUUUGUUUAUCUGUCAGGUAAUUCCAAAAUAAACUUCUUUCAUGAUUCUACAGAAACCAGAAAACCUUUCCUUCAAAUUUUCCUAUUCUGAGCAAAAUGUGAAUAAGCUAAAAGAUAC
This 607-nucleotide long non-coding RNA is filed under the name Capra hircus (goat). RNAcentral's name for it is "lncRNA (ENSCHIG00000001114.1)". The record is from RNAcentral. Lineage: Eukaryota; Metazoa; Chordata; Mammalia; Artiodactyla; Bovidae.